RNAcentral lists this ribosomal RNA (643 nucleotides) under Lactarius circellatus. RNAcentral describes it as "LSU rRNA". It matches the Rfam family "Eukaryotic large subunit ribosomal RNA", at positions 43 to 661 of the family's 3401-position model. Lineage: Eukaryota; Fungi; Basidiomycota; Agaricomycetes; Russulales; Russulaceae. The record is from RNAcentral.
UCAAUAAGCGGAGGAAAAGAAACUAACAAGGAUUCCCCUAGUAACUGCGAGUGAAGCGGGAAAAGCUCAAAUUUAAAAUCUGGCGGUCUUUGGCCGUCCGAGUUGUAAUUUAGAGAAGCGUCUUCCGCGCCGGUCCGUGCACAAGUCUCCUGGAAUGGAGCGUCAUAGAGGGUGAGAAUCCCGUCUUUGGCACGGAUGCCCGGUGCUUCUGUGAUGCGCUCUCGAAGAGUCGAGUUGUUUGGGAAUGCAGCUCAAAAUGGGUGGUGAACUCCAUCUAAAGCUAAAUAUUGGCGAGAGACCGAUAGCGAACAAGUACCGUGAGGGAAAGAUGAAAAGCACUUUGGAAAGAGAGUGAAACAGUACGUGAAAUUGUUGAAAGGGAAACGCUUGAAGUCAGUCGCGUCGACCGAGACUCAACCUUGCCUUGGCUUGGUGUACUUCUCGGGCCGACGGGUCAGCGUCAAUUUUGCUCCUCGGAUAAUGGCAAGGGAAAGGUGGCACCUUUACGGGUGUGUUAUAGUCUCCUGUCGCAUGCGAGGGGUGGGAUUGAGGAACUCAGCGCGCACAUUGGUGUCGGGGCUUCUGCCCACGUCACGCGCUUAGGAUGCUGGCGUAAUGGCUUUAAACGACCCGUCUUGAAACA